AGGAGUUUGAUCAUGGCUCAGGAUGAACGCUGGCGGCGUGCCUAAUACAUGCAAGUCGAGCGAACUGAUUAGAAGCUUGCUUCUAUGACGUUAGCGGCGGACGGGUGAGUAACACGUGGGCAACCUGCCUGUAAGACUGGGAUAACUUCGGGAAACCGAAGCUAAUACCGGAUAGGAUUUUCUCCUUCAUGGGAGAUGAUUGAAAGAUGGUUUCGGCUAUCACUUACAGAUGGGCCCGCGGUGCAUUAGCUAGUUGGUGAGGUAACGGCUCACCAAGGCAACGAUGCAUAGCCGACCUGAGAGAGUGAUCGGCCACACUGGGACUGAGACACGGCCCAGACUCCUACGGGAGGCAGCAGUAGGGAAUCUUCCGCAAUGGACGAAAGUCUGACGGAGCAACGCCGCGUGAGUGAUGAAGGCUUUCGGGUCGUAAAACUCUGUUGUUAGGGAAGAACAAGUACGAGAGUAACUGCUCGUACCUUGACGGUACCUAACCAGAAAGCCACGGCUAACUACGUGCCAGCAGCCGCGGUAAUACGUAGGUGGCAAGCGUUAUCCGGAAUUAUUGGGCGUAAAGCGCGCGCAGGCGGUUUCUUAAGUCUGAUGUGAAACCCACGG
Molecule: ribosomal RNA, 618 nt
Filed under: uncultured marine bacterium
Lineage: Bacteria
Description: bacterial SSU rRNA
Rfam family: Bacterial small subunit ribosomal RNA
Source: RNAcentral